AAUCUUGCGCAAUGGGCGAAAGCCUGACGCAGCCAUGCCGCGUGAAGGAUGAAGGUCUUAGGAUGGUAAAAUUCUUUCACCGGGGACGAUAAUGACGGUACCCGGAGAAGAAGCCCCGGCUAACUGCGGUCUAGCAGCCGCGGUAAUACGAAGGGGGCUAGCGUUGCUCGGAGUUACUGGGCGUAAAGGGCGCGUAGGCGGAUCGUUUAGUCAGGGGUGAGAUCCCGGGGCUCAACCCCGUAAUUGCCUUUGAUACUGGCGAUCUUGAGUGUGAUAGAGGUAUGUGGAACUCCGAGUGUAGAGGUGAAAUUCGUAGAUAUUCGGAAGAACACCAGUGGCGAAGGCGACAUACUGGCUCAUUACUGACGCUGAGGCGCGAAAGCGUGGGGAGCAAACA
RNAcentral lists this ribosomal RNA (397 nucleotides) under uncultured bacterium. RNAcentral's name for it is "partial 16S ribosomal RNA". It matches the Rfam family "Bacterial small subunit ribosomal RNA", at positions 360 to 774 of the family's 1533-position model. The record is from RNAcentral.